UCACGUAUUUCAUCUCUUCGUUUUCACUUUAGCCUCAACCAUUCGCGUUUGUCAUUCAAUUUCAUCUUUUCAUCUUUAGCCUCAGCUGUUCGCCGUUCGCGUUCAAGACCUUAGCCUCAGGUUUCAGCUUCACCUUCCCUCAGUUGUCACUCGACGUUCACGACCUCAGGUUUCGUCUUCAGCCUCAGCCAUUCACGUUCGCCGUUCAAUAACCAUCUCUUCGUCUUUAUCUCUUCAGUCUUCACCUUCCCCUAGUUCUCCCUCCUUCCCUCAACGUCGACGACGACGGUUCCGAUUCCAUUUCCCUCCGUUCAGGUAUCAUCAUAAUGAGCUUGAGCAAGAGCAACGAUUCCAAUGAUGAUGUUGUUGUGAUGCCACCACCAACACCACCACGAAAAGAUGAAAGUGAGGAGACAGUUUCAAAAUGCAAAUGGAAGAAAGAGGAAAAAAUCAUCUAUGAUUGAUGGAAGGGGAAUUCUUCCAGAUAUAAUAUUCUUAGCAAAAUUGCACGAGAUCUUUUAGCAGUUUCGGUAUCUACAGUUGCUUCUGAUUCCGCAUUCAGCACUAGUGGGAGAGUAAUCGAUCCUUUUCGUACCUCAUUAUCUCCAACCACUGUUGAGGCACUUGUAUGUGCACAAAACUAUGUACACAAAACUGGUUACGUUCUGAACAAAUUAGCAUUGGUUUACGACAAUACUUGGAGAAAAUUGAAGAUGAAGAGGAAGUCUUCAUAACAGGAUUGAACGGAGCGGCAAAUGCAAAAAACAAGGAGAAGGAGAAUAAUGAUUGACAAGCGAACAAAUUUGUUUGUAUUGAUUGGACUUUUGGAAUAUGUUACUAUGUUAUUAUUAAGUGUUUGGCUUGUUAUUUGCUUUUAUGUUACUUAAACUUUGAAGAUAGUUGUUUGAAAUUUGUAUAUUGUGUACUUUGGAGAACGUUUUAGUUUUUAACUUUUUCUUGUAGUCAUUUGGACA
Molecule: non-coding RNA, 974 nt
Organism: Benincasa hispida (wax gourd)
Lineage: Eukaryota; Viridiplantae; Streptophyta; Magnoliopsida; Cucurbitales; Cucurbitaceae
Source: RefSeq, a predicted model, not a curated record